This is a long non-coding RNA of Sceloporus undulatus (fence lizard), 2251 nucleotides long. RefSeq lists it as uncharacterized. The record is from RefSeq and is a predicted model, not a curated record. NCBI's taxonomy places the organism in Eukaryota, Metazoa, Chordata, Lepidosauria, Squamata, Phrynosomatidae. The transcript is spliced from 3 exons.
CAAGCCAGCUCUCCCUUGUUUCAUUGCAAAGCAUGCAAGGUGAUAAACAAAGCCAGCCAGCUCCUCAGGGGUGACAACCCCAAACGGAAUGAAAGGUGCCCAGGCCGAGGACCACACAGCGCCAGCAGGAUAUCUCCACACCCCAACCGAUUCAAGACAACAAAGGAGAGUUGUGCCGACAUCCGAAGUAUGCUGCCCGACCUGAACAAGGCCUUCCUCGGUCAAGGUCAGGAAUGUACUCUGGUCAGGAAUGUAUUUCUGGACAGGAGCAGGCAGACGAGGCCUCCCUGCACCAGCGUUUGAAGCAACUGACAGGGGUUUGAGCGGGUGAGCCUCAAACAGGUUAAACCCGGCCCCACCUCUUCUAACGGCCCACGGAGUGCUUUUUUUUUAUUUCAAUUGCUGGUCUCUCCAAUGAGAGGCCAGCAAAGCCUCCUCCCCAGACCACCGGAGAAUUUCCAGUAACUAACCUGGCUGCCGUGUUUUGUAGUCAUUGGAGUUUCCAGACUAGGCACAAGGGUAGAGCACAUUACAGAAAUCAAGUCAUGAGGUUACCAGUGCAUGUACUACAGUUUCUAGGUUCCUUACUUCUCGUGAAUCAUUUGGUGUAUCAGCCAAAGCUGAUAACAGGCGCUCCUGAUACCGCUGCAUUCACCUGGAUUGUCAUGUGAAGCGAGGGAUCUAACAGCACCCCCAGACUGCCAGCACAGUCCUUUGGGGAGAGCGUGACCCCAUCUAGGACUGGAGGUUGCAACCCAGUACCUAGUUUGCGGGGCCCUACUGCAAGUACCUCUAUUUUGUCUGGAUUCAACUUGAGCUUGUUUUUCCUCAUCCAGUCCAUUACUGCUUCAAGACACCGAUUGAGAGGAGAGAUGCUAUCUGUCAUCGAAGCUGUUGACCGAGGCAUGGAGAAGUAUCUUUGGGUGUCAUCAGCGUACAAUAACCAUCAGUUCAGCUUUGGCUGGACGUCAUGCCAGUAAAAAUACAUUUCCACAUUUCUUCCAAACUGUCUUCCUUCUUAUAACCCUGGUGAUCUUCCCAACCACAACUCCUUUCCUUUCAUUUUACUUCUUCCAACAAGCUAUGAAGCCUGGUUUGCUUGGUGGUUGGCAUAACUAAGAGAGGACUCCAAUCAAGUGAAGCUUCAUGAAACCCUCCUCAUGGCUGGUAGAUAUGAACAGCUGAAGCUGUGCACCUAUUGGAGCCACCAGUUUGGUUGGUUUCAUUACAGGGAGGAAACCUUGCUUCCAGAAACAUGAGUUUUCCUUAAUCCCAAAGGCUAUCCAGGUAGACUUAGUCCUCCAGACUUGGGUGACAACAGAAGGACUGAAGUUCCAAAAUGCAAGAAAGCUGGGAAUAUCUAAGCACAGCAUCCCAUCAUUUACUACAAGACUUGGGUGACAACAGAAGGACUGAAGUAUACAAGAAGGACUUAGUAUACAAUAAAGUCGGAAAUGUCUGAGUACAGCAUCUCAUCAGGUGAAUGAGAAGAGGUCAUAGAGAAAGCACAGGAAUUCAUGGUAACAUCACAAAAGGGGUCUACUUUAAAGGAAUGGACCAGAAGGUAAGUGAUGUACAAGAAUCAAACGUCUGCAUGCAGAACAUUGAACAACGUCUCAAUAGAAGUAGACUUCAAGGAUGAACAACAAGCACAACAAGGUGAAGCAAAAGUUUUGAUCCUCACAUUUCUGGAAGCCAUCUGCAAUUUCAGCCUUUUCUUUUCAUACACUAUCAACAUUUUCAUUGCUUUAUAUCAGGUUCCUGCAGAUAGAUGAGGAGAGGUCAUCGAGAAAGCCCAUUAAUUCAUACAAACAUCUCAGCAGAAGUUAACUUCAAAGAAACUAAGUUAAGUGAUGUAGAAGGAUGAAACCUGUGAAUGCAGAACAUUUAAGAAGGAUGGAGAACAUCUCAACAGAAUUCAACUUCAAGGAAACUGUCACAAGGUAAGUGAUGUCCAGAAAUGGACCCUGUUGAUGGAGAAAAAGCCGUGAGCCUUAAGGUAAGAAGGAAUAAGUUUGGCCUGAGCAGGAGCUGGCGGGUUGGUGGUCUAUGGUCCUUGCUGACAUGCCCAGGGUAGCACUGACCGCCACUUUUGGGGUCGGGAAGGAAUUUUCCUCCAGGGCAGAUUGGCCUGAGAUCCUGGAGGUUUUUCGCCUUCUUCUGGGCAUCCAGCAGCGUCCACCUGUUAGGAUGUUUGAAAAAUUAAUGUAUUUUGUUCCUGUUGUUGUUAACUGCCUUCAAGUUGAUAUUG